UACGAGGGGUGCAAGCGUUGCUCGGAAUUAUUGGGCGUAAAGGGUAGGUAGGUGGUCUCAUUUGUCUGGGGUGAAAGCCUUGAGCUUAACUCAAGAAGUGCCCCGGAAACGGUGAGACUGGAGUCCUGGAGAGGGUCGUGGAAUUCCCGGUGUAGCGGUGAAAUGCGUAGAGAUCGGGAGGAACACCAGAGGCGAAGGCGGCGACCUGGACAGGCACUGACACUCAAAUACGAAAGCGUGGGGAGCAAACAGG
Molecule: ribosomal RNA, 253 nt
Filed under: uncultured bacterium
Lineage: Bacteria
Description: partial 16S ribosomal RNA
Rfam family: Bacterial small subunit ribosomal RNA
Source: RNAcentral